ACAAGCCAGCGCCGUGGAGCUGUCUCUUUUUCAUUUCUCAGCCUCACUGGCCAUUCCAGUCCUCAAGAAAUAUUUGCUUGAUGUGACUUCUUGGAACCAAAUGUUGGUACCCAACUGAAAGGGAUGGAGCCCUCCGAACUUGGAAGUUCCGCUGAGGAUGAGGGCGGCCGCCAUUUUGAAACGAACAGACUCCAAAAGCACGCUCCACUGGGCCUGCCCCUGCGAUCUUAAAACAGAUGUCCGUGAAAUGUGACCCAUGAAUAGCAGUUAUCUGGAGAGAGAGCUCUGAAGCUGAUGAAACCAUUAGAGCCACUGAAGGCACCUGGUAAAUGCGAUGCGGGGAGUACAGAAGAGAGAAUCAGAAACACACCGGCACUCUCAUUCCCAUGAGGCCACUUACAGUGGGUAAAACGUCGCUUGAGAAGAGCGGCCUAAAAACAAGAACGUCUGCCCUCUUCCUUCUUAACCAAGACUGAGAUGAGGACAAGUCAGACCCUUCAGACCCAUCGUUUCAGGGACCAGCAGCUCCAGCCUGAAUGAGAAGCACGUCCUCCUGGGAGUUACGUCAGCAGCCUGACCUUCCAUCUUCCUCCUCUAAAGAAGCGUCCCUGCCACCCUGAGCACGAAGCCCUCGGGUUCCUAAAGGCCGAGGCGCUUCUUCUCAUUUACUUCCCUUGAGGAAGAAAGACCAGCCCAUCCACCCUCAUUUCCCACCGAAGGGCAUCGCAAAUAAAGUUUGCCCACGCAACCAGGCCACCACCAUUAAUUUCUCUCUGCCCUGCUCUUACAUUCUCCUCAAGGUUUUCAGUCCCCUAGAGAGGCUCCCUUCCCUCUUUUCUUUCCUUCCUCCAGCCCCCCUUUUCACCUCCCUCCACCAUUGUUUGAGGUUAAGAAGCAUGCUACGGUGUUCUAUAAAUCACUUGGCAAGAGUAGACGACAAAAGCAAAAUAUAAUUCAGAUUAAAGUCAUCCUCCCGCUGAAAUGAUAGUUUCUUAAAUAAAUGGCGAUGCUGCCUAUCAAUCUUGCUGGCAA
RNAcentral lists this long non-coding RNA (1032 nucleotides) under Homo sapiens (human). RNAcentral's name for it is "uncharacterized LOC105379379, transcript variant 1 (LOC105379379)". The record is from RNAcentral. Lineage: Eukaryota; Metazoa; Chordata; Mammalia; Primates; Hominidae.